UACAGAGACUGCAAGCGUUAUUCGGAUUCACUGGGCGUAAAGGGUGCGCAGGCGGUUGUGUGUGUCAGGUGUGAAAGCCCGGGGCUUAACCCCGGAAUUGCGCCUGAAACUACAUGACUAGAGCAUUGGAGAGGGUAGCGGAAUUCACGGUGUAGCAGUGAAAUGCGUAGAUAUCGAGAGGAACACCAGAGGCGAAGGCGGCUACCUGGACAAUUGCUGACGCUCAGGCACGAAAGCGUGGGGAGCAAAAGGG
Molecule: ribosomal RNA, 253 nt
Filed under: uncultured bacterium
Lineage: Bacteria
Description: partial 16S ribosomal RNA
Rfam family: Bacterial small subunit ribosomal RNA
Source: RNAcentral